CCUGUCUGUUCAGAUUCUUUUUGGCCUCUCUGUGUGGCAAUCCUUCCUCCCAGCUAUAGAGCAGAGACCUUCUGGAAUGAAGAUCUUAUGAUCUACUUUCAGACAUGGCAGCUCAGAGAAUUUCUUUACAGCCAGCUCUUGCCCAGAAAGGGCAUCCCAGCUAAGAACUCAUGAAGGGUAGAGAGAAAACUGUUUUUCCUCUCUUUCAUUUUGGGGGGCUGUUCCCAGAGAUCAAAGAUGAGCCCUGCAAACUGGGUGACCACUGUUGUUGCCCAGGCUGGAGUGCAAUGGCGCGAUCUUGGCUCACCACAACCUCUGCCUCCUGGAUUCAAGCGAUUCUGCUGCCUCAGCCUCCCAAGUAGCUGGGAUUACAGGUGCCCACUACCACACCUGGCUAAUUUUUUUGUAUUUUUAAUAGAAACAGGGUUUCACCAUGUUGGUCAGGCUGGUCUCGAACUCCUGAACUCAUGUGAUCUGCCCCCCCCUCACCCGCCCCUUGGCCUCCCAAAGUGCUAGGAUUACAGGCGUGGGCCAUGACCUGCUUUUUAUUAUCAAUCUAUAAUUAUAUGUAUUGUUCCUAUAUCAUUAAAUAUUCUCCUUUGAC
RNAcentral lists this long non-coding RNA (604 nucleotides) under Homo sapiens (human). RNAcentral's name for it is "HSALNT0037125". Lineage: Eukaryota; Metazoa; Chordata; Mammalia; Primates; Hominidae. The record is from RNAcentral.